Molecule: small nuclear RNA, 105 nt
Filed under: Mola mola (ocean sunfish)
Lineage: Eukaryota; Metazoa; Chordata; Actinopteri; Tetraodontiformes; Molidae
Source: RNAcentral
GUGUUUCCGCCUAGCACAAAUACUAAAACUGGAACGAUACAGAGAAGAUUAGCAUGGCCCAUGCGCAAGGAUGACACACAAAUUCGUGAAGCGUUGCUCAAUUGG